GCGCAAGGCAGAGCAAGGCGGACCGGAGAUGGAGCGGGAGAGGUUGCAAGCAUGGACGGGAAGGAGCGAGAAGAUCGCUAGAAAAUGGAGAAGAUUGCGGGAAGUUUGCUGGCUGAAGGAAAGGAGAGAUUAGGGUAGGCUUUGCAUAUAUAUACACACAAAAGGGGUGGCGGCGGCUCGAUCUAUUCCGUCGUCUCUUCGUCCUCCGGCUGCCGAGACGAAGAGAUUCACCUCAUCCUCUCACCACGCAGCCAUGGCUUCUUCAUCCCCGCCAUCCCGCGCAGCCAUCUGAGGUCCCGCCUUCUUCCGUACUGUAGUUGUUCUCGACAGCUCAUACUACGAGGAGGUUAAAGACGGCUGGUCAUAUCUAGCACCUGAAGAAGCAACGGAAGUAUCAGCUAGUCUGAAGGAUGUCCGACACAAAUGCAACAUCGGCAUCGCAGGAAGAGAAUGUCCUUAAGAGAAAGUCAGAUGAUGUGGGAUGGGAGUACGGGAGUCUAGCUGAUGCUUCCAAAAAGGAUAAAGUGAAGUGU
Molecule: long non-coding RNA, 533 nt
Organism: Triticum dicoccoides
Lineage: Eukaryota; Viridiplantae; Streptophyta; Magnoliopsida; Poales; Poaceae
Exons: 3
Source: RefSeq, a predicted model, not a curated record